GGGAUAUUGGGCAAUGGAGGGAACUCUGACCCAGCGACGCCGCGUGCGGGAUGAAGGCCUUCGGGUUGUAAACCGCUUUCAGCAAGGAAGAAGCGAAAGUGACGGUACUUGCAGAAGAAGCACCGGCUAACUAUGUGCCAGCAGCCGCGGUAAUACAUAGGGUGCAAGCGUUGUCCGGAAUUAUUGGGCGUAAAGAGCUCGUAGGUGGUUCGUCACGUCGGAUGUGAAAAUCUGGGGCUUAACCCCAGACCUGCAUUCGAUACGGGCGAGCUAGAGUGUGGUAGGGGAGACUGGAAUUCCUGGUGUAGCGGUGGAAUGCGCAGAUAUCAGGAGGAACACCAAUGGCGAAGGCAGGUCUCUGGGCCAUUACUGACACUGAGGAGCGAAAGCGUGGGGAGCGAACAGGAUUAGAUACCCUGGUAGUCCACGCCGUAAACGGUGGGCACUAGUUGUGGGAACCUUCCACGGUUUCUGCGACGCAGCUAACGCAUUAAGUGCCCCGCCUGGGGAGUACGAUCGCAAGAUUAAAACUCAAAUGAAUUGACGG
This 547-nucleotide ribosomal RNA is filed under the name uncultured bacterium. Its description in RNAcentral is "bacterial SSU rRNA". It matches the Rfam family "Bacterial small subunit ribosomal RNA", at positions 358 to 916 of the family's 1533-position model. The record is from RNAcentral.